CACAUUUUCGCACGCACAAACACGUCUGCGCACACCUACGUGUGUGCAGAAGCGGGAGGCUCUCCUUGUUUUGCUGCGAGUGUGUCGGUGGAUAACGGCUCACAUAACGUGUCGCGAUGGAUGACUUGGCUUCCUAUUU
This 139-nucleotide ribosomal RNA is filed under the name Leishmania lainsoni. Its description in RNAcentral is "5.8S ribosomal RNA". Lineage: Eukaryota; Euglenozoa; Kinetoplastea; Trypanosomatida; Trypanosomatidae. The record is from RNAcentral.